AUACGGAGGGUGCAAGCGUUAAUCGGAAUUACUGGGCGUAAAGCGCACGCAGGCGGUUUGUUAAGUCAGAUGUGAAAUCCCCGGGCUCAACCUGGGAACUGCAUCUGAUACUGGCAAGCUUGAGUCUCGUAGAGGGGGGUAGAAUUCCAGGUGUAGCGGUGAAAUGCGUAGAGAUCUGGAGGAAUACCGUUGGCGAAGGCGGCCCCCUGGACGAAAACUAACCCUAAGGUUCGAAAGCGUGGGGAGCAAACAGAUUUAGAUUCCCUGGUAGUCCACGCCGUAAUCGAUGUCGACUUGGAGGUUGUGCCCUUGAGGCGUGGCUUCCGGAGCUAACGCGUUAAGGCGACCGCCUGGGGAGUACGGCCGCAAGGUUAAAACUCAAAUGAAUUGACGGGG
RNAcentral lists this ribosomal RNA (396 nucleotides) under uncultured bacterium. RNAcentral's name for it is "partial 16S ribosomal RNA". It matches the Rfam family "Bacterial small subunit ribosomal RNA", at positions 523 to 918 of the family's 1533-position model. The record is from RNAcentral.